AGCAGCCGCGGUAAUUCCAGCUCCAAUAGCGUAUAUUAAAGUUGCUGCAGUUAAAAAGCUCGUAGUUGAAUUUCGGGACUAAUAUGUUGGUCGUGCCUCGGUACGUACUGAUAUUUUGGUUUCUCCCUUCUGACGAACCUUGAUGUCAUUAAUUUGGUGUCUUGGGAAAUCAGGACUGUUACUUUGAAAAAAUUUAGAGUGUUUAAAGCAGGCUCACGCUUGAAUACAUUAGCAUGGAAUAAUGAAAUAGGACGUUUGAUUCUAUUUUGUUGGUUUCUAGGAUUGACGUAAUGAUUAAUAGGGAUAGUUGGGGGCAUUAGUAUUCAAUUGUCAGAGGUGAAAUUCUUGGAUUUAUUGAAGACUAACUACUGCGAAAGCAUUUGCCAAGGAUGUUUUCAUUAAUCAAGAACGAAAGUUAGGGGAUCGAAGACGAUCAGAUACCGUCGUAGUCUUAACCAUAAACUAUGCCGACUAGGGAUCGGAUGAUGUUAAUUUUUUAAUGACUCAUUCGGCGCCUUAC
This 520-nucleotide ribosomal RNA is filed under the name uncultured Glomus. RNAcentral describes it as "SSU rRNA". It matches the Rfam family "Eukaryotic small subunit ribosomal RNA", at positions 569 to 1091 of the family's 1831-position model. The record is from RNAcentral. Lineage: Eukaryota; Fungi; Glomeromycota; Glomeromycetes; Glomerales; Glomeraceae.